GGACGGAGGAAGGAGGAAUGGUUUGUGCUAGUAAAUCGGAUGCCGCUACUCUCCGCUAGGCAUGGAGGAGAAAUCUGAUUUAUUUCGCAUUUCAAAAAGACACCAAGAAGACGCUCACCAUCUCUUUCCCAAACCUGUCAUCCCCUCUUUAAAAGCAGGCAAACCUGCAUUCUGUGUCCAGGCACACAAGAGGGAGGGAGCCCCAGCUGACAAAGCGUCAAGGCGAGUUAAGCAGCAGAGCGAAAAGAGGGUAAGUAGCUCCCAUUUAUUCCAUUAUUUAAUUGAAGUA
Long non-coding RNA from Rhineura floridana, 289 nucleotides. RefSeq lists it as uncharacterized. The transcript has 3 exons. The record is from RefSeq and is a predicted model, not a curated record. Lineage: Eukaryota; Metazoa; Chordata; Lepidosauria; Squamata; Rhineuridae.